Dromaius novaehollandiae (emu) is the source of this 3099-nucleotide long non-coding RNA. RefSeq lists it as uncharacterized. The record is from RefSeq and is a predicted model, not a curated record. The transcript has 3 exons. NCBI's taxonomy places the organism in Eukaryota, Metazoa, Chordata, Aves, Casuariiformes, Dromaiidae.
GUGAAACCACUGCCUGGUUCAAUUUAGUUGUGAUUAAGUGCUGGUUGUAGAUGAGGUGUUUGGGCAGCUGUGCAUUAUAAGGAGUCAUGUCAAACCAGUCUCAAAAGGUCUAUCUGGCCUUUGAAAUAAUAGAAGCCGUUUAUUUCUCAUGUUUGCUCUUCUGCUGUUGCUGUUAUUCAUAGAGAUGGACCAGGGCUGAGCGCAGAAAGAACUGCUAAGGUGCUAUGUUUUUACAUCCCUAGAGUCGCUAGCUACAUGUGACAUACAGUUUGAGGUAAUGCUAAUUGACCUUUCAUCUUCCUCCAAAACUUUCAGCUCCCUGAUUUUUAAACAUCAAUUUUCUGUGCUUUAUAACCAUGUUUCACUAUUGUCAUUUGUAGAGAGGAAGGGAAAAGGAUAAGGUUUUUUCACAGCCACCACCUUGGAGUGUAGGCUAAGCAUUAAGGGAAGCACCUUGGAGAUCCAGCACUAUUUGAUAAAGGUGAUCGUUACUGCAGUAAUAAUCUUGGCUAGAAAUGACAUGUUUUGCAUUGUGCUUUAUGCAGUAAAUUAACAAGUACUAUAUGAUAUUGCAGUUCUCCCAGAACUAGCUUGAAAUCUCUGAUUAAUUAAAAUGUUUUUUCAUGUUACUAGUCUCUCACUUCCUCAUCUAAUUGAGGGAUUCCUUUUGGGUUAGUGUGCGAGUUUCACUGGAUGCUGGGAUGCAAGUGCAUGCUUGAGCUCAGCAGCUAUUUUCCUGAAUUCAAGCCUUCUACUGUAUAUUCUGAAUUCAUGACUGACAACACACAGUGAGGUGAAGAAAACAAAUAACUUGUUUUUUGGGGUUUUUUUUCCUUAAAAAAUGUACUUUCAGGUUAUUCCUAUAACAAUAUACAUUGUUAAUGCUCCUUGUUGAUACAUUUGUUGGUGCAGGAGUUUUUUGAUGCAGCUAUAGCUGUGGGAACCAAGUGAUUCAGCUGUUAAUAAGAGGAUAAAUGCCACUUUUAUUCAAGGUGUACUUCUGCAAAAGGACAGCUGUCUACCACGCUUCUGCUGCAACUAAGAGUGGGAUGUGUGUGGACUCAAAAGGACAGAUGUCACUUACUUACAGACAGGGACCAUUUCUGUGUGGCUCUGUACCUGGUUGGGUUGGUCCUGUAGUGCCUUCUCUAAGAUUUUCAACAGAAUUCAGGACACUUGGUUUGGUAAUCUGCAACUGCUGGAUCUCAGCUCCUGGAUAAUGCAGCUGAAGUCCACCAAAAGGAGCCUUUGUGUACCAGUUUUACAUAAGUCUCAAGGAAUACAUUAACAUGUAAGUAAAAAGCCAGUGAGUUCUCUUUGCUAUGUUGAAUUACCCUCAAAUUAUCUUCCUAAUCUGUAUUGGAAUAGUAUGCUCUGGAUUUGCAAUACAAAUCACAUAGCUAAGAAUAUGGACAGCUGUUCACCCACUAAGGAUGACAUUUCCCCCAGCCUCAACUUUCUACAUCUCAUUAUUUUCCCUGUUUUCUGCUCAGUUCACCUCCUCAUUGAUUGACCAGUGUAGUUUCAUUUCUUCAUAAGCACAAAGAAGUAAAUAUAGUUGCACAAUAGCAUGUAUCAGAUCUGUGUUCCUGUCUUCCACCCCUCUUUUUUUCCCUUAGCGUUGUGCUAAGAAUUGUCCAGCAUUUCCCAAGGCAGCUUCUUAGUCAGAACCACGUCUUUCUCUACCGGAGGUCUCUGACUAGAGAAACUUGAAACACUCUUCUCGGGUAAUCUUCUCAUUGUAGUAAAAGCACAGGAAGGUGUCAGCAAAUUAGCUCUGCUAAGCUCCUGCACUUUUGAUGGGAUGGUUGGAUUUAAUCUGUUGGUGUUUGGAAGUGUUGGCUGCUCAGCCCAAUAAUUUUUUUUUUUUUUUUUACCUUUUUUGCCCUCAUUCUUAACUUGCAUAAAGUUACCCUUAGCCACUUUCUCUUCUUUUUCCUCUGUGUUUGUGGUAACUGGUCAUUAAAGCCUGUGCUUAUAAUAGCUGUACCACAGGACAGGAGAUUUCGUUUCCCAUCUUGCUUUCCAGGGUGUGGCAAAGCUAGCACACACUCCACCCGGCCAUGGCAGUGGUGCUGUGGGAUUUGAAGUGUUCACUAAGUUGAGGUUUAACCUGAUUUUUUUGUUGUUCUUCUGGUCUAUCUACAAAAGAGCUUCCAUGCUUGCCUAUGGGAAAGAGGUAGAACUGGGAUUCCUCCUUCGAGAGAGAUGGGACUGAUGUUUGAAGAGGAAAAAUAUAUGUUAUGUUUUUCUUCCCUUGACCUAUGCAAACAUUGAGAACUGAGAUACUUCUCGUAGCUUUUGAGAACUAUGUAAACUCCCCUUUCUUGCAGAGGAGCAUGAGUCUUUUUGGAUGAUCUGAAUCUUUGCCAUCAUUUGGAGCAGAGUGAAGCUCUGUGAAAGGAUAGUAACUGAAAGCCAACUGGAUUGUAAUUAGCUCGGGCAUCGCAGGAAGCAGCUGAUGCAUAUGGUUUGUGUUGGAAGUAAGGCAGACAGAAGGAUUAUGACUCAGUGGUAAAGAGGCCCUGGCCUGGUGGCCGUACUCUGACCCAAAGGUGUUUUCUAGGCUUGCUGCUGUGAGGGGCCAGGGGUAGCUAGUGGCUGCACAUACACACAUCACUACAUAAAACACAAAGGCUCUAGAGAGCACACGUGACUUCUCCUUUGUCAGAGGGUGUUAAUUUUGCAGUGAUGUCGGCAUACUGCUGCCCCAGCAAUAUGAAGUCUAGCUCCAUCUUUCUUCCAUAGUAAUCAGUGCAAACAUGCCCUAGUCUUAAAGCAUGGUACUUUGGGAAUGAAAAGCUUAAUCAUUUUCCUUGGCUUUUUUCUUUUUAUGAGGUAUAGGGUGCUUAGAGCUAUAGAAGCAGUGCAAGCAAAAUAUUAAUGGAUAGCCAUGCAGCGCAGACAUUAAUGCAUUCCUUUCCCUUGAAACAACUGGCUUUUCUCUGUUGGCUCCGUAAAAUAAAAAUGUCUGCAGAGUCUGAAUCUGUUGUUUAGAAGCCAAAAUAGAUCGAGAUUUAGAAACUUUGCUGGCCUAUAUUGCUGAAAUGUUACCACUGCAUUUAUCAUGUGGCAAAAAUAAAAUCUUUUUUUUCUCUA